Molecule: long non-coding RNA, 1653 nt
Organism: Mya arenaria
Lineage: Eukaryota; Metazoa; Mollusca; Bivalvia; Myida; Myidae
Exons: 2
Source: RefSeq, a predicted model, not a curated record
CAUCAUAUUUGUAAACAAUGUUAAAUUUGAUGGAUUGCUGGUCAAAUGGCGUUAUGCGCCAAGGAAGUUCUUGUCGUAGGACGAGCAGUCUUGUUCUGGGAUUGACGUCUACUAAAGAUAACUAUUGAAAAUCCAUUGAUUUGAGAUUUGAGCAAUUUGGACAGAAGACAAAACAUUGAUAUGAAGGCCGAUGUUUCAUGAAUACUUAAUUAAGAACAUCAUCAGCAUAUGAAAAGUAACACAUGUUUAUGAAUUAAAUAUCUUACUACUCUAGUGUCAUGAACACCUCAGUGCACGUAUAUGUAUGCUAACGUAUUUUGUCGUUACAAAAUCUCAGACGAUGACACACGUAUUAAACAGACAUCUGGUACACUUUGCAGGCUCUGGCGAAACGGACAGAAAUAAACCUACUCCGGACGGAAGUCUUUUGGCUAACAAAACGGUUUCACUUUCUGAUGCAAAAAGGAAAUCCCCUACUAACGUCAAUCAUUAAACACGUAGGACCGGUUCCCAGGACAACAAUGAUGCAACAAACUUUUUCGAGACCAGGGCAAACAGUAAAACUAAUGGACAGAUUUGAUCAUAUCAAAGAAAGAAGGAAACGGAAAAUCCAUGCUUGGAAUUCUCUGCUGCGUAUAUACCGUGUAAGAGUGUGUUUGUAGAUGAUUAAGAGUUACACUGAUGAACAUGUUUAGUAUUUGAUGAACAUGUUUUAUGGGAAAGGGCCGUUAGUUUUGUCGGAAACACUCGCGGCCCAAUACCUAUGCAAGCCCUUUUUGAUUGAAUGUGAAGAAUGUUACAUUGCACUGUUUUAUUUUCAUCUGUUGUCCUCCAUCCAUUUCAUUUAUUGUGUUUAUGUAUAUUCAUGUUAGAAGUAUGGAAUGAUUUUGUUACGAUUGAACUGAAUAAACAUACAAAUCAGGUGGUCUAUAAACUCACAUGUUUAUUUUUCAGUAUUUUACUUUCCGUUAGCGAAACUAAAACAAAAUGAUCAGACAGUUGCAAACCAAUAGCACAUAUCAAUAAGACUAUUCAAUGUGCUUUUACUUUUACACAGGACUGUAUUUUGCUUUAUCUCAAAGACACAGAAAUGGGCUCCUAAAAUUUACCAAGUAAUAAUGUUUAUUACUGCCUUAAUUGUUAUGGUUACCUGUUAGGAAGGGAUAAACCCAAUCAUAGGAGCAACCAUGUCGUUGUUCAUUACCUUUUCUGAUAAUUCCAACACAAAUGACUAGUACUUUAAAUUCCACGAUGAAUGAAAUAUCUCCUAGUACUUAUCAUUGACCUUUCAAGCAUGCCUUUAUAAAAAAAAUACCAACUACAACUUUACAAACCAUGCUGUAUUCCGAUUUACAUAAUGAUACUACAACUUUGCUGUUUAUAGUGUACAUAAUUAUUGUCCUUGAUUGAUAUUCUUGAAAUAACUAACGAAUAUACUGUAGUAUGUCAACUAUUGGAACUGUGCACAACAGGCCGUAAAGCCGGGAAAACUAGUUGUCAACUUAAUGUUAUCAUUGUAAAUAGAGCACUAAUCCAUCUUACUUUUUUGUUAUUGUAUUCAUGCUUAUAAAGACUAUUACAAUGUUGUGUCCUAUUAAUACCAAUAUGCUUUUAUUUACAGGUAAAAAUUAAAUCUGAUGUAUUGUUAUGUUA